GAGUUUGAUCAUGGCUCAGAACGUACGCUGGCGGCACGCCUUAUACAUGCAAGUCGAACGAAGUAGCAAUACUUAGUGGCAGACGGGUGAGUAACAUGUGGGUAUCUUCCCUUUGGUGAGGAAUAACACGAGGAAACUUGUGCUAAUACCUCAUAAGUCUUUACGGAGAAAGCUUUAUGCGCCAAUGGAUGAGCCCGCACUUGAUUAGUUUGUUGGUGGGGUAAUGGCCUACCAAGACUUUGAUCAAUAGCUGAUUUGAGAGGAUGAUCAGCCACAUUGGGACUGAGACACGGCCCAAACUCCUACGGGAGGCAGCAGUAGGGAAUCUUGCACAAUGGAGGAAACUCUGAUGCAGCGAUGCCGCGUGAGUGAAGAAGGCCCUUGGGUUGUAAAGCUCUUUCGUCGGGGAAGAAAAUGACUGUACCCGAAUAAGAAGGUCCGGCUAACUUCGUGCCAGCAGCCGCGGUAAUACGAAGGGACCUAGCGUAGUUCGGAAUUACUGGGCUUAAAGAGUUCGUAGGUGGUUAAAAAAGUUGGUUGUGAAAUCCCGGAGCUUAACUCCGGAACUGCAAUCAAAACUUUUUAGCUAGAGUAUGAUAGAGGAAAGCAGAAUUUCUAGUGUAGAGGUGAAAUUCGUAGAUAUUAGAAAGAAUACCAAUUGCGAAGGCAGCUUUCUGGAUCAUUACUGACACUGAGGAACGAAAGCAUGGGUAGCGAAGAGGAUUAGAUACCCUCGUAGUCCAUGCCGUAAACGAUGUGUGUUAGACGUUGGAAAUUUAUUUUCAGUGUCGCAGGGAAACCGAUAAACACACCGCCUGGGGAGUACGACCGCAAGGUUAAAACUCAAAUGAAUUGACGGGGACCCGCACAAGUAGUGGAGCAUGUGGUUUAAUUCGAAGAUACGCGCAGAACCUUACCAACACUUGACAUGUUCGUCGCGACUCUAAGAGAUUAGAGUUUUCGGUUCGGCCGGACGAAACACAGGUGCUGCAUGGCUGUCGUCAGCUCGUGUCGUGAGAUGUUGGGUUAAGUCCCGCAACGAGCGCAACCCUCACUUUUAGUUGCCAUCAUUUAGUUGGGCACUCUGAAAGAACUGCCAGUGAUAAGCUGGAGGAAGGUGGGGAUGACGUCAAGUCCUCAUGGCCCUUACGUGUUGGGCUACACACGUGCUACAAUGGUAUCUACAACAGGAAGCAAGACGGCGACGUUAAGCAAAUCCUUAAAAGAUACCUCAGUUCGGAUUGCACUCUGCAACUCGAGUGCAUGAAGCUGGAAUUACUAGUAAUCGUGGAUCAGCGUGCCACGGUGAAUGCGUUCCCGGGUCUUGUACACACCGCCCGUCACACCAUGGGAGUUGGUUCUACCUUAAGGCAAGGUUUAAAACCCUUGACCACGGUAUAGUCAGCGACUGGGGUGAAGUCGUAACAAGGUAGCCGUAGGG
This 1441-nucleotide ribosomal RNA is filed under the name uncultured bacterium. Its description in RNAcentral is "bacterial SSU rRNA". It matches the Rfam family "Bacterial small subunit ribosomal RNA". The record is from RNAcentral.